UAAUCUUACUUGUACGUAUGUGAUUUUAG
Molecule: non-coding RNA, 29 nt
Filed under: Mus musculus (house mouse)
Lineage: Eukaryota; Metazoa; Chordata; Mammalia; Rodentia; Muridae
Source: RNAcentral